RNAcentral lists this ribosomal RNA (348 nucleotides) under Triticum aestivum (bread wheat). Its description in RNAcentral is "partial small subunit ribosomal RNA". Lineage: Eukaryota; Viridiplantae; Streptophyta; Magnoliopsida; Poales; Poaceae. The record is from RNAcentral.
AUGCGGGCAGGGUCGGUAGUGGAUGGAGGCUCGCCGCCCGGAGCAGCAGGAGCAAGGAGGACGAUUUGGUUCAGAUAUUUGACUGCAUUACUGAAUCUUCUAGGGUUCGAGCAGCAGCUGAGCUUAGAUCGAAUCAUGUAUAUAUUUGCAGGGCAAGACAGGCACAUUAUUUGGAUCAUGAACUUACAGGAUGGUUUCCCCCGCCACAACCAUUGUAAUCAUCCUGCAUUCCCCCGUCAAGCGUGCAUCGGUGCUGGAUAUGCAAGCUGCAAUAGCACAUCAACGGGCAGGCAAGAGCAAGAAGAUGGUCACGAUUUUUGCCAAGCAGUGGAAGACAAUGUUAACUGA